Podarcis lilfordi (Lilford's wall lizard) is the source of this 69-nucleotide non-coding RNA. The record is from the annotation of a GenBank genome assembly. Lineage: Eukaryota; Metazoa; Chordata; Lepidosauria; Squamata; Lacertidae.
GCUGUAGCUCAGGGGUAGAGCAUCUGCUUUGCAUGCAGAAGGUCCCAGUUUCAAUCCCCGGCGUCUCCA